UAGCAAACCUGCUUCUAUAGAUCCACUAUUUCCCUAACAGGAAUUCUGUUAGGAUAACCUUGUUGGUCAAACAAAACCUGUAUUCAUCUGUGUGGAUGUAUUGCAUGCUUUCCUUGUUUCUCUUGCUCUCCCAGUGCCUGGGGAACAUCACGUGUUGAUUAGCGUCAUAGCUUGAGACAUACUCAUUCCUCAGAUUCACCUUCAUUAUGCUCCUUUGAACAUUGCACAACAACCCACAACAGAGACAUAUUCCAAAGAGAUCCAGACCAGCCAGUGUUCAGUAGGAAAACAUCAGCACCUGUAGGAUGAAUAAUGUAAUCUAAUCAGGUUCAUCAUUCAGUGAUUUUUUAAAAAGUGUUCUCUCAAUUAUUAUGUAUGAGAGCAAUACAUUUAUCUAGAUCCCCUUUCCACUCAAAACUGUUGAUGGACAGGUUUGGGUAAAAGCUAGCUAAUUUGCAUGUAUGGC
Molecule: long non-coding RNA, 466 nt
Filed under: Bos taurus (domestic cattle)
Lineage: Eukaryota; Metazoa; Chordata; Mammalia; Artiodactyla; Bovidae
Description: long non-coding RNA NONBTAT000054
Source: RNAcentral